Molecule: long non-coding RNA, 748 nt
Filed under: Anas platyrhynchos platyrhynchos (common mallard)
Lineage: Eukaryota; Metazoa; Chordata; Aves; Anseriformes; Anatidae
Description: lncRNA (ENSAPLG00000018319.1)
Source: RNAcentral
AGCAGUUGGGAGACAAUGGGCUGGUGAAGCACAGUACUCAACUCACAUGAGCCUGGGCACCUACGCAGCUGGCUGAGAGCCAAUCAGGCUCAAGGACACGAUGCCCUUGGGCGAUCGGGGAAAGUCCCUAAGGCGGGACAGGGAGCUAAAAGAAGGAGGACCAGACUGAAAAGCCCGGGAAGUGUUAGCCAAUCCUGAGCUUAGUUUCUGCAAUAUGUAUGAGUUGAUUAUGUUCGAACUAGAUAAAAGGCGACUGAGCUAUCCAUUAAAGUUGAAGUUCACUGUUCACUCAUAUUGAGUGUUUGGGUCUUCCUUCCGUCGGCAACAUUGGUCUGCAUAGUUAUUCCUGUUCUUGAAAAACUGUAAAUACUCUGUCAAGGCCAGACCACAUCUCUUAAUAAACCAUGAUGAAUGGCAGAUGAAGCAUGGCCAUGGAAUUUGAUCAAGAAGAAAGGAGCCCUGAAUCCCUUAAAAUACAGCUCCUAAAUUUCUGUUAUACAAAGCUGAAGAGAAAGAAGGACUUUCUGAUCAUACUGCAAUUUUGAAUGAGGGAAGUCUGAGAGAGCACACAUCUUGAAGAAUCUGCUGCUGCAGCUUCAGCUGCUCUGUUUUGGACCAUAUAUUUGCCUGCUGUUUUUCUGCAAAGUAAUUAUUUUGCUAUUUCAGUAUUUAAACUCUUUAUCAAAACUCAUUGUUUCAUUUUCCCAGAUAAUCUAAGGGUUAAUUAAAGUAUCUAAUUAUAGUUUUC